ACUCAAAGGAAUAGACGGGGGCCCGCACAAGCAGCGGAGCGUGUGGUUUAAUUCGAUGUUACACGAAGAACCUUACCAGGGUUUGACAUACUGGUGGUAGGAAUCCGAAAGGUGACCGACCCUUCGGGGAGCCAGUACAGGUGCUGCAUGGCUGUCGUCAGCUCGUGUCGUGAGAUGUUCGGUUAAGUCCGCUAACGAGCGCAACCCUCCCUGUGUGUUACAUGUGUCACACGGUACUGCCGGUCUUAAGCCGGAGGAAGGUGGGGAUGACGUCAAGUCAGCAUGGCCUUUAUAUCCUGGGCUACACACACGCUACAAUGGCCAGAACAAUAGGUUGCUAAGCCGCGAGGUGGAGCCAAUCCCCAAAUCUGGUCUCAGUUCAGAUUGCAGGCUGCAACUCGCCUGCAUGAAGAUGGAGUUGCUAGUAACCGCAGGUCAGCUAUACUGCGGUGAAUACGUUCCCGGGCCUUGUACACACCGCCCGU
This 485-nucleotide ribosomal RNA is filed under the name uncultured bacterium. Its description in RNAcentral is "bacterial SSU rRNA". It matches the Rfam family "Bacterial small subunit ribosomal RNA", at positions 899 to 1397 of the family's 1533-position model. The record is from RNAcentral.